Molecule: long non-coding RNA, 415 nt
Organism: Gallus gallus (chicken)
Lineage: Eukaryota; Metazoa; Chordata; Aves; Galliformes; Phasianidae
Source: Ensembl
UGAACACUGUAACUUUCUGUGGAUGAAAUUACUGCCACAGCAGUGAGAAGAAGACCUUUAGAAGACUUACUUGUUCACAGCUGAUAGUAUUUCCAGAAUGAAAGACAGGCUCUGGAGAAAAAGGCAGCACCUUCGAAUCUGAAACAGGAACAUCAAAGACUGUCAUCAAAGAGACAGGCUCUUCAAGAAGAACAAAAAGAGACGAAUCACCAAUCACAUCAGAGGGCUGAGCUGAGCAAGUGAAGGACUGGAAAGACAUAUUCUCCCUCAGGAUUUGCAGGGGCUCCACUGCAAGUCGUGCAUCUACAACAGCCUCUGGCCAUUUUAAAACCGUGAACCAUAGGGCUGAAAAACCGCAAACAAAUGUGACUACAGAAAACUGGACAGUCUUCUAGCUGUUAAAAAGGCACUGAGG